RNAcentral lists this ribosomal RNA (253 nucleotides) under uncultured bacterium. RNAcentral describes it as "partial 16S ribosomal RNA". It matches the Rfam family "Bacterial small subunit ribosomal RNA", at positions 524 to 776 of the family's 1533-position model. The record is from RNAcentral.
UACAGAGGUCUCAAGCGUUGUUCGGAUUCAUUGGGCGUAAAGGGUGCGUAGGCGGCGCGGUAAGUCGGGUGUGAAAUCUCGGAGCUUAACUCCGAAACUGCAUUCGAUACUGCCGUGCUUGAGGACUGGAGAGGAGACUGGAAUUUACGGUGUAGCGGUGAAACGCGUAGAUAUCGUAAGGAAGACCAGUGGCGAAGGCGGGUCUCUGGACAGUUCCUGACGCUGAGGCACGAAGGUCAGGGGAGCAAACGGG